UUUCCCUAACUGCAUGGGGCUGGCUGCAGGUGGGUCCUGCCUUCCCUUAAACACCUAUGCCCACUGGGACAUGUUCUGCAGUGGAGUGUUUCUGGAAAAACUACAAUUCCAUCUAGAGGAUGAGCUCUGCUUGGGGUAACAGGGCUUUGCUCAGUCACCUCUCUGGUCCCAGCUCCCUGCACACCUAAUGCUGGCGCAUCCAAGGCCAUUGCUGCUGAAACCCAUGGCCCAGGUGCUUGUCCAGCUUGCUGUUUCCAAGUGGAGGAAUGGGUGGUCUUGGCUGGGCCUGCAGCUUUACCAGUUUUUCUUGGGUGAAGUAGCUCCUUGUGAACACGGAAACCCCAAUAUGCCUGGGAGAGUCACCUUCCAGAGAUGUCGGAAGCAACAUCUACAAGAUGUGAUGAUGCUAGAGACAAAAACCAUCUGGGAGCGAAGAAGAAAGUCUCUUCCAAAUCAGAGUCCAGCUCACAGUGUCUGCUAUGAAACACGGUGA
RNAcentral lists this long non-coding RNA (493 nucleotides) under Anser brachyrhynchus (Pink-footed goose). RNAcentral's name for it is "lncRNA (ENSABRG00000021611.1)". The record is from RNAcentral. Lineage: Eukaryota; Metazoa; Chordata; Aves; Anseriformes; Anatidae.